RNAcentral lists this unclassified non-coding RNA (208 nucleotides) under Hevea brasiliensis (rubber tree). The record is from RNAcentral. Lineage: Eukaryota; Viridiplantae; Streptophyta; Magnoliopsida; Malpighiales; Euphorbiaceae.
CUAAACUAACUUAAACUAAAGUAAUAAUAAUAAACCUAAUAGAAUUUUAUAAAUGAUAAAUUCUAAACCUACUAUAAUUCUAAACCUGAAAAAUACAAACUUCCUAAUUUUACAGUGAAUAUAAUCCCCAAGUAUCCUAAGUUGAAUCAAAUUCCAACACUGCAUUAUUCUCCUCUGGUUGGAAAAAACUUGACCUCGAGUCUUGUAG